RNAcentral lists this ribosomal RNA (302 nucleotides) under uncultured bacterium. RNAcentral's name for it is "bacterial SSU rRNA". It matches the Rfam family "Bacterial small subunit ribosomal RNA", at positions 524 to 835 of the family's 1533-position model. The record is from RNAcentral.
GACGGAGGUUGCAAACGUUGUUCGGAAUCACUGGGCAUAAAGCGCACGUAGGCGGUCUGUUAAGUCAGGUGUGAAAGCCCCCGGCUCAACCGGGGAACAGCAUUUGAUACUGACAGACUCGAGGAUGGUAGGGGUGAGUGGAACUCCAGGUGGAGCGGUGAAAUGCGUAGAUAUCUGGAGGAACACCGGUGGCGAAAGCGGCUCACUGGACCAUAACUGACGCUGAGGUGCGAAAGCUAGGGUAGCAAACGGGAUUAGAUACCCCAGUAGUCCCUGAGACGCCAAGGCACACAGGGGGGAUA